This 751-nucleotide long non-coding RNA is filed under the name Fukomys damarensis (Damara mole-rat). RNAcentral describes it as "lncRNA (ENSFDAG00000023733.1)". The record is from RNAcentral. Lineage: Eukaryota; Metazoa; Chordata; Mammalia; Rodentia; Bathyergidae.
CAUUUGGGAGUGUAUAUAUUAGGAGACCCUAACACAGAAAUCUUACAAGCUUCAAAGAACAUGAAAGAGGUCUGGAGCCGCCGCCAAAGAAUUCUUUCUGCCUUCACAGACUCAGAUUUCAAUGAUAAGCAAUUUCAAACGAAUCCUGAAAAAUCAGCUGACUUAUGCAUGAACAAUACAUCAGCAGCAGACUGGUUCAACCAUCUAUCCUGAGGUCGACAAUCAUGUAAUUGAAUAUAUUGUCCUGUUAUCUGAAUAAAAUAAAGACCACUCAUAAACACGUGAUCCCCCUAUCCCUCCUCCUCCUCCGGUCCCUCUUUCUCAUUUUUCAUUCUUGUUGAUAUUUUUCAUUUGACUUCACAUAAUGACAUAUACAGUUCACAUUAAUUGAUAGCAUUACAUUCUUGUACGUGGAAUAUCUUUACUCUAUUUAUUUCAUCUUACCCUACUCCUCAUCCCUCAUCUUUCUUUCCUUGGACCAUUUCCCUAUUGCAAGAGACCCGUGCGGUUGUUCCUUUCUAACCAUCCUGUAUCAUUCUCUUUUUAUGUACCUUGCCUCAUUCAAAUGAGAGAUACUACACGGUACGAAAGCUUGCGUGUUUGGUUAUAUCACUCAAUGUUAUAUUUUCUAGGUACAUCCAUUUUCCUACAAAUAUGUCAAAUGUGUCACUUUUUAUAGCCAAGUAGUAUUCCAUUUUAUACAGGCACCAUAUUUUCUUUAUCUCAUCCUCUGUUGAUGGGUAUACAGGCC